GUUGUAAGCGUGAUAACGACGAUAAUUCAUCUUAAACGUGUAGAUAGCACACGGUAUUCAUAACAAAUAUCAAUUAUUUUUUUCGUUGUGUACUUGAAGUGUGUCCGCUUAUCGGAAGGAAUACAUUUUGGAAAACCACAAUGAAACAAAGGCCGCCGAUCGAUGGACCUCGCCGCAUCUUACUUGCUGAAGAGCUUAUGCGUUUUUUUUUUUUAUUUCAAUGCAAAUAAAAUGUUACUGUACUAACUAUGUAUGUAGUUACAGAACGUGACUUGACUAAAAGUUGCUAUAAAAUCGUUUUAAAAUGAAAA
Bombyx mori (domestic silkworm) is the source of this 311-nucleotide long non-coding RNA. RefSeq lists it as uncharacterized. The record is from RefSeq and is a predicted model, not a curated record. The transcript is spliced from 2 exons. Lineage: Eukaryota; Metazoa; Arthropoda; Insecta; Lepidoptera; Bombycidae.